This 512-nucleotide long non-coding RNA is filed under the name Nicotiana benthamiana. RNAcentral's name for it is "long non-coding RNA (NBEN_LNC006141)". Lineage: Eukaryota; Viridiplantae; Streptophyta; Magnoliopsida; Solanales; Solanaceae. The record is from RNAcentral.
UAGGGUAAAUUCAGAGUUAAUUGAGUCCUUUCCUUUUGAACCCCCUAUUUGUUAUCAUUUGUUUUUGACUCCUUAAUUAAAGGGGAAUCCUAAUACUAAAAGGAUUCUAGAUUGAUAUUAGUCCCUUAAUAUAAUAUUGUUGUUUGUUUAUGUACUGGUUUUCCGGUACAAUAAGUACCCUCCUCUUUCUUUUUGAAAGAAACCAACACACAGCAUAUCUUUCACAAUUUAAAAAUCUCUCUGAAUUCUCUCAUUCUCUGCUAUUUCUAUACUCUCUCAUUCUCUUAUUUGAACACUCAAUCGGCUGAAAAGCCAAGAUUGAGUAAACUUGGGUUGUUUAGUCCUACACUACUGGAUUAUGUUGCAUUGCUUACUUGGGUUUCCAUGUUGCUCUCUUUGUUGCACACUGCCAUUCUCACACUGUGUUGCACAGUGCUAUUCUCUCUGCUACUCAUACUCUCUGCUCACUUUGCUCUCUCUGUGCACUCUUCCUCAUUGCUCUUUGUGUUUUG